Molecule: microRNA, 22 nt
Filed under: Drosophila melanogaster (fruit fly)
Lineage: Eukaryota; Metazoa; Arthropoda; Insecta; Diptera; Drosophilidae
Description: dme-miR-976-5p
Gene: dme-miR-976-5p
Source: miRBase by way of RNAcentral
AUUGGUGAGGCCAUCUCCAAUG